This 253-nucleotide ribosomal RNA is filed under the name uncultured prokaryote. RNAcentral describes it as "partial 16S ribosomal RNA". It matches the Rfam family "Bacterial small subunit ribosomal RNA", at positions 525 to 777 of the family's 1533-position model. The record is from RNAcentral.
ACGAAGGGGGCUAGCGUUGUUCGGAAUUACUGGGCGUAAAGCGCACGUAGGCGGAUUGUUAAGUUAGGGGUGAAAUCCCAGGGCUCAACCCUGGAACUGCCUUUAAUACUGGCAAUCUAGAGUCCGAGAGAGGUGAGUGGAAUUCCGAGUGUAGAGGUGAAAUUCGUAGAUAUUCGGAGGAACGCCAGUGGCGAAGGCGGCUCACUGGCUCGGUACUGACGCUGAGGUGCGAAAGCGUGGGGAGCAAUCAGGA